ACGCUCGACACCUACGGAAGGCAGCAGUGGGGAAUAUUGCACAAUGGGGGAAACCCUGAUGCAGCGACGCCGCGUGAGCGAAGAAGUAUUUCGGUAUGUAAAGCUCUAUCAGCAGGGAAGAAACUGACGGUACCUGACUAAGAAGCACCGGCUAAAUACGUGCCAACAGCCGCGGUAAUCUGAGCGGGCUGGCAAGGC
RNAcentral lists this ribosomal RNA (198 nucleotides) under uncultured bacterium. RNAcentral describes it as "partial 16S ribosomal RNA". It matches the Rfam family "Bacterial small subunit ribosomal RNA", at positions 326 to 539 of the family's 1533-position model. The record is from RNAcentral.